Molecule: ribosomal RNA, 2050 nt
Filed under: human gut metagenome
Description: bacterial LSU rRNA
Rfam family: Bacterial large subunit ribosomal RNA
Source: RNAcentral
CGGAUGCCUUGGCACAGGAAGUCGACGAAGGACGCGGCAAGCUGCGAUAAGCCCCGGGGAGUGGCAAACACACCUUGAUCCGGGGAUCUCCGAAUGGGGGAACCCAGCAGGGGUCAUGCCCUGCUACCCACGCCUGAAUCAAAUAGGGCGUAGGGAGGCAACCGGGGGAACUGAAACAUCUAAGUACCCCGAGGAAGAGAAAUCAACCGAGAUUGCGCGAGUAGCGGCGAGCGAAAGCGCACCAGCCCAAACCCGGGCGCGUGUAAGCGGCAGGCGUUGCCGCCCGGGGGUUGCGGGACACCCGUCCAGGUGCUGCCCACCUGGGAGUGGUCACAAAUCCGUCAGGUAGCGGAACGGCAUGGAAGGGCCGGCCGCAGCGGGUGAGAGCCCCGUACGCGAAACCUGACGGACCACUGCGGUGCAUCCCGAGUAGGGCCGGGCACGUGAAACCCGGUCCGAAGCCGGGGGGACCACCCUCCAAGGCUGAACACUCUCCUGUGACCGAUAGCGAACCAGUACCGUGAGGGAAAGGUGAAAAGCACCCCGAGAGGGGAGUGAAACAGUACCUGAAACCGUGCGCCCACAAGCAGUCGGAGCAGCCUUUGCGCUGUGACGGCGUGCCUUUUGUAGAAUGAGCCAGCGAGUUGCGGUGUGCGGCGAGGUUAAGUUUGGAAACGAGCCGCAGCGAAAGCGAGCCUUUAAGAUGGCGAGUGAGUCGCACGCUGCAGACGCGAAGCCGGGUGAGCUAUCCUGGGGCAGGCUGAAGCGGGGGUAAGACCCCGUGGAGGGCCGAACCCACUUCGGUUGAAAACGGAGGGGAUGACCCCAGGAUAGGGGUGAAAGGCCAAUCAAACCCGGAGAUAUCUCGUUCUCCCCGAAAUAGCUUUAGGGCUAGCCUCGGCCGUUAACCCGCGGUGGUAGAGCCACCGGAUCGACGAGGGGGCUUCACCGCCUACCGACUCGAACCGAACUCCGAAUGCCGCGGGUCGAGAGGCCGGGAGUCAGAGGGCGUGGGCUAAGCUGCGCGCUCGAGAGGGAAACAGCCCAGACCGCCCGCUAAGGUCCCCAAGUCAUCGCUGAGUGGCAAAGGAUGUGCGUCUGCCCAGACAACCAGGAUGUUGGCUUAGAAGCAGCCAUGCAUUUAAAGAGUGCGUAACAGCUCACUGGUCGAGUGGACAUGCGCCGACAAUUCACGGGGCUAAGCGAUGCACCGAAGCGGCGGACUGAUCUUUCAGUGGUAGGGGAGCUUUCCGCGACCGGCGAAGCCGCAGGGCGACCUGCGGUGGAGGGCGCGGAAGUGAGAAUGCUGGCAUGAGUAACGAGACCAGGGCGAGAAACCCUGGCGCCGUGAGCCUAAGGGUUCCUGGGCGAGGCUAAUCCCCCCAGGGUCAGUCGGGAGCUAAGGCGAGGCCGCGAGGCGUAGCCGAUGCGCAGCGGGCAGACAUUCCCGCACCGCCGACGGCGCGGCAUUACCGAUGGGGCGACGGAGAAGGGUAGCCGGGCGGGGUUCUGGACGUCCCCGUGAAAGCGCGUAGGGCGCAGGGCAUGGAAAUCAGCCCUGCACGAGGCCUGAGACGCGAGACGAAGCGACCGAGCGAAGCCGGUGAGCCCAUGCUUCCGAGAAAAACCUCUAGGGAGUGCCGUCGGCGCCCGUACCAAAACCGACACAGGUGGGCGGGUAGAACAUACCGAGGCGAUCGGGAGAACCACGGUUAAGGAACUCGGCAUACUGGCCCCGUAACUUCGGGAGAAGGGGCGCCCCCGCCGGUGAAGGCACUUGCUGCCGGAGCUAGUGGGGGCCGCAGCGAAACGGCCCAAGCGACUGUUUAUCAAAAACACAGGACUCUGCAAAGCCGCAAGGCGACGUAUAGGGUCUGACGCCUGCCCGGUGCCGGAAGGUUACGCGGAUGCGUCAGCCGAAAGGCGAAGCGCUGAAGCCAAGCCCCGGUAAACGGCGGCCGUAACUAUAACGGUCCUAAGGUAGCGAAAUUCCUUGUCGGGUAAGUUCCGACCUGCACGAAUGGCGUAACGAUUUGGGCGCUGUCUCAAC